GACGAACGCUGGCGGCGUGCUUAACACAUGCAAGUCGAACGGAAAGGCCCUGCUCUUGUGGGGUGCUCGUGUGGCGAACGGGUGAGUAACACGCGAGUAACCUGCCCCUGACUUUGGGAUAACAUCAGGAAACUGGGGCUAAUAUCGGAUAGGAGCUCCUGCUGCAUGGGGGGGGAUGGAAAGUUUCGGCGGUUGGGGGUGGGCUCGCUGGUUAUCAGCUUGUUGGUGGGGUGGUGGCUUUCCAAGGCUUCGAAGGGUAGGCGGCCUCGGCGGGUGACCCGCCACACUGGCACUGAGAUACGGCACCGACUCCUACGGGUGGCAGCAGUGGGGAAUAUUGCACGAUGGACGGAAGCCGAAUGAAGCAACGCCGCGGGCGGGAAGACGGCCUUCGGGUUGUAGACCGCUUUCGCAUGUGACGGAGCGUGAGUGACGGUAAUGGGUAAAGAAGCACCGGCUAACUUCGUU
RNAcentral lists this ribosomal RNA (468 nucleotides) under uncultured bacterium. RNAcentral describes it as "partial 16S ribosomal RNA". It matches the Rfam family "Bacterial small subunit ribosomal RNA", at positions 28 to 507 of the family's 1533-position model. The record is from RNAcentral.